GGUAAAGGCCCACCAAAGCGACGAUCAGUAGCCGGCCUGAGAGGGUGGACGGCCACAUUGGGACUGAGACACGGCCCAGACUCCUACGGGAGGCAGCAGUAGGGAAUAUUGCACAAUGGGGGAAACCCUGAUGCAGCGACGCCGCGUGAGCGAAGAAGUAUCUCGGUAUGUAAACUUCUAUCAGCAGGGAAGAAAGUGACGGUACCUGACUAAGAAGCCUCGGCUAAUUAC
RNAcentral lists this ribosomal RNA (231 nucleotides) under uncultured bacterium. RNAcentral's name for it is "partial 16S ribosomal RNA". It matches the Rfam family "Bacterial small subunit ribosomal RNA", at positions 256 to 504 of the family's 1533-position model. The record is from RNAcentral.